This 525-nucleotide ribosomal RNA is filed under the name Adelocera sp. UPOL RK0025. Its description in RNAcentral is "partial 16S ribosomal RNA". It matches the Rfam family "Bacterial large subunit ribosomal RNA", at positions 1827 to 2610 of the family's 2925-position model. The record is from RNAcentral. Lineage: Eukaryota; Metazoa; Arthropoda; Insecta; Coleoptera; Elateridae.
CAUGUCCUUUUGAUUAUUAUUUGAGGUCUAAUCUGCUCAAUGAUUUAUUAAAUUGCCGCGGUAUCUUGACCGUGCAAAGGUAGCAUAAUAAUUAGUUUUUUUAUUGAGAACUGGAAUGAAUGAUUGGACGAGAAAUAUGCUGUCUCUAUAUAGUUUUAUUUUGAAUUUUACUUUUAAGUUAAAAGGCUUAAAUUUUGUUUAAAGACGAGAAGACCCUAUAGAGUUUUACUUUUUUAUUUUUUUAUUAAUACUUGGUAUUUAAUUUAUUAAUUGGAUUUGAAGUUUGGUUGGGGUGACUAGAAAAUUUGUUAAACUUUUCUAAUAAUUUAAUUAUUGAUUUAUAAAUUUUGAUUCUAAAAUUUUUAAGAAUAAUAUUAAUUACCUUAGGGAUAACAGCGUUAUUUCUCUUUAGAGUUCAAAUUGUAAGAGAAGUUUGCGACCUCGAUGUUGGAUUAAAGUUAAUAUUGGGUGCAGUAGCUCAAUUAUUAAGUCUGUUCGACUUUUAAAAUUUUACAUGAUCUGAGU